UUAACAUGCUGAAUAUAUUGCGUCGAAAACUGGUUCGACGACUAUUCUUCGUCUAUAAGUAGUCGAAACACAGGCAUAGGAAAUGGAUUAAUUCGGUGGAAUUUUACACGCGUGCUCCAAUAGAACAACAACCAAUCUCUUUGAUUGCCAAUUCUAGAACGAACGAUUUCCUCUUGCUCCCGACCAGAACAUGAAUAAAUUGCUCGUACUUGUGGUUCUGGCGUCGAUCAUAUUCAUGGUGUACGUGACAUAUACAAUGGCUGAUUGUCAACGCAGUGAAACUGAGUGUACUCGGAACAAUGACUGCUGUUCGGGCUUUUGUGAUGAUGGUUUGUGUGACGCAGACGGCGACUCUACGACAUCUUAGAGGCUUGCUUAGCUUAAGGAUUACUUUUGUGCAUGUAACCGUUCAUGUUUUGUAAAUAAAAUGCUUAUCGUUGCUGGGAGA
Molecule: long non-coding RNA, 448 nt
Organism: Bradysia coprophila
Lineage: Eukaryota; Metazoa; Arthropoda; Insecta; Diptera; Sciaridae
Source: RefSeq, a predicted model, not a curated record